UACAGAGGUGGCAAGCGUUGUUCGGAUUUACUGGGCGUAAAGGGUGCGUAGGCGGUCUUGUGUGUCGGAUGUGAAAUCCCACGGAUCAUCCGUGGAACUGCAUUCGAAACUGCAGGGCUGGAGUACAGGAGAGGAAGGUGGAAUUCUCGGUGUAGCGGUGAAAUGCGUUGAUAUCGAGAGGAACGCCGGAGGCGAAGGCGACCUUCUGGACUGUAACUGACGCUGAGGCACGAAAGCUAGGGGAGCAAACAGG
RNAcentral lists this ribosomal RNA (253 nucleotides) under uncultured bacterium. RNAcentral describes it as "partial 16S ribosomal RNA". It matches the Rfam family "Bacterial small subunit ribosomal RNA", at positions 524 to 776 of the family's 1533-position model. The record is from RNAcentral.